GGCGGCACAGCGAACUUGUUCACUGGCGUGGCGUUGUGUCGGAUCGAGCGUCAUGAAGUCGAAACCUACGUCAGAAAGUCAAAACAGUGUGUCUCUCCCAGAAAAUCAAGGAAGUAUGAACAUCUGGUCCUGGAAGAACCAUAUGAGGAUUGGAUACCAUAGUUUACACGGGAUCUCUCUGAUUCACACCAAGAACUUCCAUUAUUCAAAACUAGUGAGCGGAUCAUGAAACCCCAUUAUGAUCCCCAAUUUAAUGAUGUUCAGAAGCAGCAGAGACAGCAAAAAUGGCAGCCUCAUUUCUAGGAAUAGAGCCAAGCUCAUUAAACUAAUAAGGGAUGUAAAUGGUACAAAGACUGCUUUUUCUGCAUCAGGCAUCAAACUCUAUAACAACUCAUCAAUAAGUAUAAAGCCACCUAGCUUAGCACACCUAAAGAUGCAACAUUAUUGUAAUGGAUGCUUCAACUCAAUUACUCAAGGCCUCAACACCACAGGCCAUGCACAAAAACCUCCUUUCCAACUGUGGACUGUCAAAUCUAAAUGAGACUUUUCUGUCUGUGCAGGGGCCUGCAUCAUUCUGGAAAACCCUCCAAAGAGCUUUACAGAGGUAAAUGGCCCGGCAGUUUCUAUUAUGGGGGUGUUUUACACUUCAUAUCUUUGUUGCUUUCUCUGAAGAUGAAUACCUUGGGAAAUUGUGUCGUCGAAGAGUUUGUUUUUUCUUUGGAGACCUGUUGGUAUGAAAUGUUAUGUUCCCCCAGUAAGCUUCCUAUUUUCUUUAACCUUCAAGAGUGUUACAGAACCAGGUUAUCAAAGCCACCGUUAGCCCGUCUCAAUCCUUCCAGCUCUGAGCAAGGUAAACAUUGCGCCCUGUGAUUUCACACCUUUGCAGCCAUGCUUCCCUAGUGCGAGUAGGGAAGUGACAGGCAGCUUUCAUCCUUUGCCAUGUCCUGCCUCUUCAAAACUUUCUUCCACCUCUUACUACUGCAGAGGACAUAACUGCCUUGGCUGAGCAAAGGUAAGACACCCGUGCUUUACUGGUGUAGUAAGUGUGGAACAAAAGGGUGGCCCCCAAAUCCGUGGGAAAGUCCUAAAAGGCAAAGUUACAUGUUCUGAAGCAGGAGCUAUAGUCAAAUCUGAAACUAUCACCUUUUCUUUCUGGCCCACUUUCCAGAGCUAGCAUGGAUAAGUAUUCAAAUACCUUCCAAAAUCUUCUCUAAGUAUACUGGCAACCCACAUCCCCUUUUCAAUGCGUUUAGGAGCCCAAAUCCCAUUGCCUUUCAAUGAGACUCCUAAGUGCAUAGGUUCCUUUUGGAAAAUGAAUUUCAGGCUCUUAAAUCACUUAGGUGUUUAAGUGUUGCGGUCUGCGGGGAAGAGAGUAGACGUGAGUGACCUUCCUUCUGUGAGAGACCUACACCAGGUUCACAGGUAUGGUUUGGUGACUCAUUUUCUCGGCAUGUUGAGCUAACUGGUCUGAGGCUGCCUCCAGGCGAGCGCGGCUGUGCGGUACGGGGCACUGCAGACCUGUUUG
Long non-coding RNA from Gavialis gangeticus (Gharial), 1525 nucleotides. RefSeq lists it as uncharacterized. Lineage: Eukaryota; Metazoa; Chordata; Crocodylia; Gavialidae. The record is from RefSeq and is a predicted model, not a curated record. The transcript has 6 exons.